This 77-nucleotide transfer RNA is filed under the name Methanocaldococcus villosus. It matches the Rfam family "tRNA". Rfam says of the family: Transfer RNA (tRNA) molecules are approximately 80 nucleotides in length. Their secondary structure includes four short double-helical elements and three loops (D, anti-codon, and T loops). Lineage: Archaea; Methanobacteriati; Methanobacteriota; Methanococci; Methanococcales; Methanocaldococcaceae. The record is from RNAcentral. RNAcentral also lists the same sequence under 1 other name.
GGGCCCAUGGUCUAGCUGGCUAUGACGUCGCCCUUACAAGGCGAAGGUCGCCGGUUCGAAUCCGGCUGGGCCCACCA